CCUACGGGGGGCAGCAGUGAGGAAUAUUGGUCAAUGGCCGGAAGGCUGAACCAGCCAAGCCGCGUGAAGGACGAAGGUGCCAAGCAUUGUAAACUUCUUUUGUCAAGGGACAAAAUCAGGCUCGAGAGCCUGACCGAGGGUACUUGAAGAAAAAGCAUCGGCUAACUCAGUGCCAGCAGCCGCGGUAGUACGGAGGAUGCGAGCGUUAUCCGGAUUUGUUGGGUUUAAAGGGUGCGUAGGCGGGGUGUUAAGUCAGCGGUAAAAGCCCGGGGUUCAACCCCGGCUAGUCGUUGAAACUGGCUGUCUUGAGAUGUCGAGAGGGAUGCGGAAUGCGCAGUGUAGCGGUGAAAUGCUUAGAGAUGACACAGAACACCGAUUGCGAAGGCAGCUCACGAAUCCGCGAUUGACGCUGAGGUACGAAAGCGUGGGUAUCAAACAGGAUUAGAUACCCGUGUAGUC
RNAcentral lists this ribosomal RNA (459 nucleotides) under uncultured bacterium. RNAcentral describes it as "partial 16S ribosomal RNA". It matches the Rfam family "Bacterial small subunit ribosomal RNA", at positions 338 to 795 of the family's 1533-position model. The record is from RNAcentral.